Non-coding RNA from Picea glauca (white spruce), 121 nucleotides. NCBI's taxonomy places the organism in Eukaryota, Viridiplantae, Streptophyta, Pinopsida, Pinales, Pinaceae. The record is from Rfam.
UGUUAUGCACAUUCCUAGAAUGCCAAUGCAACAUAUCCCAUUAGAACUUCAUAGUUAAGCACACUUGGACUAGAGUAGUACUGGGAUGGGUGAUGUCUCAGAAAUUCCUCAUGUUUUAUAU